AACAGGUUGAUAUUCCUGUACCACCUAUAAUCGUUUUAAUCGAUGGGGGGACGCAGUAGGAUAGGCGAAGCGUGCGAUUGGAUUGCACGUCUAAGCAGUAAGGCUGAGUAUUAGGCAAAUCCGGUACUCGUUAAGGCUGAGCUGUGAUGGGGAGAAGACAUUGAGUCUUCGAGUCGUUGAUUUCACACUGCCGAGAAAAGCCUCUAGAUAGAAAAUAGGUGCCCGUACCGCAAACCGACACA
This 242-nucleotide ribosomal RNA is filed under the name Staphylococcus aureus. RNAcentral describes it as "partial 23S ribosomal RNA". It matches the Rfam family "Bacterial large subunit ribosomal RNA", at positions 1424 to 1661 of the family's 2925-position model. The record is from RNAcentral. Lineage: Bacteria; Bacillati; Bacillota; Bacilli; Caryophanales; Staphylococcaceae.